Molecule: long non-coding RNA, 524 nt
Organism: Lotus japonicus
Lineage: Eukaryota; Viridiplantae; Streptophyta; Magnoliopsida; Fabales; Fabaceae
Exons: 3
Source: RefSeq, a predicted model, not a curated record
GUACUUGGUACUGUUAAGUAUAUUGCAGAGGGUAUGGUCUGGCAUUACCCUGCGUGCAAGUGCAGCAAGAAGGUAGAUUGUCAAUUAUGUUUUGCAAUGACUAUAAAUACAAGUUAGAGACAAUCUUUAUCUCAUGUUAAACUGUAUUUGCCAAGGCCUGUCUUUACUCAUGGGCAAUUAUAUGUUGCACUAUCAAGAGUUAAAUCUAGAAAAGGUUUGAAGAUACUAAUCCUAGAUGACCAAGGAGUAGUUUCUAACACUACCCGCAACGUUGUCUAUCAAGAAGUCUUUGAAAAUAUUCGAUAUUAUAAAUAAAUGUCAAGCAGCUUAUUGGUCAUCUAACUUGAAGGAUAAUUUCGUUGCUAUAAGGUUAUGUUGUUCAAAUAUUGAAUUGGUAGCAAACUUCAACUUCAAGUUUGAAGUCAUUAUCACUGAACAUAGACAACAAGUUCUAUUAAGCGAUCAUGCUGUUGACAUUUUUGUGAUUUUUUAAUUUAUUUGUUUUUGCAACGCAUUCCGUAAAA